GAAUUGUAGAACAACUAUCUUCCACAGUUUAAGCCUUCAACAAGGCUUAGACCUUGUAGUGGUAGUAAACUUUGGCUCACACACUCAAGCCUUGGGCAAGGCUAAGGCAUCGACAAGAUCACAAAUCGGAUAUGCCCAAGUAAACCUCGCCUAAGGCUUAUGCCUCAGUAAAAUGGAUGAGCCCAACCAACCCUUGGGCACGGGCUAGUAGCCAAGGCAACAUGAGGGAGUCAAGAUUACACUCGACCAAGCCUUGCCCAAGGCUUAAGCCACGUGCAGCUACUAAUUUGAAAAAGGUGCACUCUUGAGAUUCAAAAGAGAGAAUCUCGCCACAACCAGGAUUGGCAUCUAAAAAUCAAGGGGAAGAUGAUUUUUGAAAGCAAGCUAUGUGUCAAAAUCAUUAGAAGAAAUCUAAAAGGAAACCCUAAUUCUUUUAGCUAUAAAAGGAAGUGGCCAACAUAAAACGAGGGGAUCUUUUUCCUGGUGCCGCACUCUAUAACUUCUGAAAGUUUUCUGCCUUCUUUUUUUCGUCUCUUCAAUAUUCAGAACCUUUUUUGUGUUGAGCCCACUGUGAGUGGCUGAUAACUUUCUUUUUUCCAAUUAACAA
This 607-nucleotide long non-coding RNA is filed under the name Carica papaya (papaya). RNAcentral's name for it is "long non-coding RNA (CPAP_LNC013837)". The record is from RNAcentral. Lineage: Eukaryota; Viridiplantae; Streptophyta; Magnoliopsida; Brassicales; Caricaceae.